GCUGGGCAUGGUGGCGAGUGCCUGUAGUCCCAGCUACUUGGGAGGCUGAGGUGGGAGGAUCACUUGAGCUUGGGAAGUCAAGGCUGCAGGGAGCUAUGAUUGCACCACUGCACUCCAGCCUGGGCGACAAAGUGAGACCCUGUCUCAA
Unclassified non-coding RNA from Macaca fascicularis (crab-eating macaque), 148 nucleotides. It matches the Rfam family "Metazoan signal recognition particle RNA". From Rfam's summary of the family: The signal recognition particle (SRP) is a universally conserved ribonucleoprotein. It is involved in the co-translational targeting of proteins to membranes. The eukaryotic SRP consists of a 300-nucleotide 7S RNA and six proteins: SRPs 72, 68, 54, 19, 14, and 9. NCBI's taxonomy places the organism in Eukaryota, Metazoa, Chordata, Mammalia, Primates, Cercopithecidae. The record is from Ensembl.